This 237-nucleotide ribosomal RNA is filed under the name uncultured bacterium. RNAcentral's name for it is "partial 16S ribosomal RNA". It matches the Rfam family "Bacterial small subunit ribosomal RNA", at positions 96 to 333 of the family's 1533-position model. The record is from RNAcentral.
UGGCGGACGGGUGAGUAACGCGUGGGUAACCUGCCUCAUACAGGGGGAUAACAGUUAGAAAUGACUGCUAAUACCGCAUAAGACCACGGAGCCGCAUGGCUCAGUGGGAAAAACUCCGGUGGUAUGAGAUGGACCCGCGUCUGAUUAGGUAGUUGGUGGGGUAACGGCCUACCAAGCCAACGAUCAGUAGCCGACCUGAGAGGGUGACCGGCCACAUUGGGACUGAGACACGGCCAA